RNAcentral lists this ribosomal RNA (385 nucleotides) under Katablepharidaceae sp. RNAcentral's name for it is "partial small subunit ribosomal RNA". It matches the Rfam family "Eukaryotic small subunit ribosomal RNA", at positions 582 to 975 of the family's 1831-position model. Lineage: Eukaryota; Cryptophyceae; Kathablepharidacea; Katablepharidaceae. The record is from RNAcentral.
AUUCCAGCUCUAAUAGCGUAUAUUAAUGUUGUUGCAGUUAAAAAGCUCGUAGUUGGAUUUUGGAGUUUGACAAGUGGUCUGCCUAAGGUGUGUACUGCUUGUCGGCUCUUCUUUUCUGGGGGCCACGCUGCUCUUUAUUGAGGGGUGCUGGGAAUCAGAUCUUUUACUUUGAAAAAAUUAGAGUGUUCAAAGCAGGCCCACGCAUUGAAUACAUUAGCAUGGAAUAAUGGAAUAGGACUUUGGUCUUAUUUUGUUGGUUUCUAAGGCCGAGGUAAUGAUUAAUAGGGAUAGUUGGGGGCGUUUAUAUUCCAUUGUCAGAGGUGAAAUUCUUGGAUUUAUGGAAGAUAAACUACUGCGAAAGCAUUCGCCAAGGACGUUUUCAUUG